Molecule: non-coding RNA, 173 nt
Filed under: Vibrio ponticus
Lineage: Bacteria; Pseudomonadati; Pseudomonadota; Gammaproteobacteria; Vibrionales; Vibrionaceae
Description: Lysine sequence
Rfam family: Lysine riboswitch aptamer
About the family: Riboswitches are metabolite binding domains within certain messenger RNAs that serve as precision sensors for their corresponding targets. Allosteric rearrangement of mRNA structure is mediated by ligand binding, and this results in modulation of gene expression.
Source: RNAcentral
UUAAUCAGUAGAGGCGCGCUGCCUAUCAGUACCCGUGCGAGGAUGAUCCCGAUGAUGCCGGAGAAAGGAGUCAGCGCCGAAGUCACUUGAGCCAUCAUGCCAAGUGGCUGGGUCUGUGUCGAAUAGGCACAGAACUGCCAUAGUAUUAAUUCCUAUGGAGCGCUACCUGAAGG